Molecule: long non-coding RNA, 1366 nt
Organism: Triticum aestivum (bread wheat)
Lineage: Eukaryota; Viridiplantae; Streptophyta; Magnoliopsida; Poales; Poaceae
Exons: 4
Source: RefSeq, a predicted model, not a curated record
CCAAUUUGGAACAGAAAGAAACGCGAACUACUAGGGUUUCCAGCGCCGGCGGCGGACCUCGCCGUGUGCCGCGCUCCGGCGUCGGGCGAACGAGCUCGCCAAGAUACGGACGUCCAGCAGACUAGUCGCCCUAUUUCCGCCUCGCCAUUUUCCACCUCGCCCCCCCUCCUCGACCCGACCCGGCCCAACCCGACGCCUAGCUCCGCCACCCAUCGACGCUGUGGAAGGGAACUCCGAUCUUCACGUAUUUUUGUGCGUUCCGGUCUUGAUCCAUCGUUUUCUAUGUUGAUUUUGUCAGAUGUACCUACUUCAGUCUUUUCAUUUUUACAGGGCCUACUGAAGGAGCCGGUUGAAGGAAGAGAAGCUUCAAGCAAGAUCUCCUUUUAUUUGCUGACAGGACCAGCUGAAGGAAAAGAAGCUUCAGCCUUAUAUUCUUGAGAAUACCAUUAUUAGGAGAAACGUGGACAGGAAAAUCCAUUGAACAUCACCGUCUCGCCAUUUGCAUUUUUAUCUACAUAGAGUAGAGAAUGAUGGGAGUCAAUGGCAAGUAUUGCUCCAAGUGCCGGCUCAACUACAGCAAUGGGACUUGAAGAUGAUGCCAACAACUUUUCCAUGGUCCAAACAGGAUUGGACAUACAUGAUGAAGAUUGUUUCAAUACACCAAAAAGAACCAGUAGCCUCCCCGUGCGUGGGUCAACUUAUGAGUCCGAGUGUGAUGAUAGCCUACAAUCGUCAAUUGGCAUGCGAUUUGAUAGCUGGGAGGCAGGUUUGGCAUUCUAUAGAAUGUAUGCCCAUGAGGUUGGCUUCUCCGUAUGCAUAUGGACACAACACAAAGGAGAGGGUGGUGUAAUAAUUUGGAAGAAGUUUGUUUGCGCAAGGUUGGAGGAAGCAAAAAUCAAUGGACAUUGGCCAAGUUACUCAAGAAAUGCAGAGAAAAAAGGUUAAAAGAAAUAUCAAGAUAACCAGAUGCUGUUGUGAGGCUAUGAUCGGAUUGAAGAGGCAAGAUGACGGCAAGUAUGAGGUCGCCCAGUUUGUUCAACCACACACACACCAACUUAUCUCACCAAGUAAGAGACAUCUCAUCCGGUCAAAUAGAGAGGUAACUAGUGAUUUGAGAAACAAACUAUCUACAUGCAGUAAGGCAUUGCUUGGCACAUCAAAAACAUUUCGCUUGGUUAGUAUUGAGAAAGGUGGGCAAGGAAACAUAGCUUGCACGAAACGUGACUUACAGAACUAUGACCGUGAUUUUAAGGCAGCAAUUAAGGGAGCAGAUGGACAACUUAUAGUAGACAUAAUGGAAAAUAAAAGAAAGGCCAAUCCAGCAUUCUACUUUGAUUACUAGGUUGAUGAGAACAAUAAACUAAAA